AGUCCAGAGGAGUUCUGCGGCUGGAUUCUGACCACGGACUUCUUCGUCCCUACUUGCAGAGAAGAGUUAUGCUGACACGGAAGGAGGGACUUGGAGAGGGGAGAUUAACCUUUCGCUGGCCACGAUUCGUUCCCUCUUAUCGUGGAGGAUUCGGCAACCCACCCCCCUCCCACCCAGCCUAUCUGUCUGAAUUGCUGAAAGCAUAAUGCUCCCAUAUGAGAGAUAAUGUUGCUGUAAAAGACAGGAGGAUCUGUCUGCGUGUUCGAGGUGCGGCCUGAUGUCAUCCUUCAGGGCGGUGCCCGCAUGGAAACCAAGCAAAACUCUCUGGAGCUUUCCCAAAAAAGUUUCUUCCAAGCAUUAAGACCAUGAUGUCAGUCAGCUUCAGAGAAACAGCAUCAGAUCACCUGAGAAUCAGCAUGCAAGCCUCAGGUUUGAAAGGCACCAGGACACCUGCAAGAGGAGCCCCAGUUGUGCCUCCUCCAUGAUGAGGCUCAUACAGAGGUGCAGCCCCUCAGAUGGUGACAGGGAGACAGCCACCAGUGCCCUCACAGCACUGUCACUGUGUCUGACCACGUUCAUGAAGAAGGGAUGGGAAGUGCUGCCUGGACUGCCCCCAGCAGAAAGCCCCGUGGUGUCCCUUCCCCGCUGGUGCAGAGGCUCCGGGCUGCCACCGCAGAUCAUUUGACAAAUUUCACGGGCUUUUGAUACAGGCACAAAGGUUCACAGCCGGCUCUUGUCUAGUUGGUGAGACCGUCCAGUCCCUCUUGUGUCAUUUGUGGUGGCAUUACAGACUUUGAGAAUGAUCUGAAGGACAAACCCCAAGCUGUUUGGAUGCUGCUCAGCCCAAAAUACGUGAGAAGAGCUAUUCCGACGUGAGUUUCUUCUCUGCACUGCAAUGCAGGGAUGGAGCUAAGGAUGAGCAAUGGGAGCACUGUCAGGAUUACAGCCAGGAGCAGCCCUGCUGGUCGGAUGGGCAGAUGAAUGCACCGACAGAGGCUUCCCAGUGUGACACUCCAAGGCUGCCCCUUCCUGGGGCCAAUGUCCUCAUCCCACAGCUGUUUUCUCAGGCUACAAUAUGUGAGGAAAGCUGAUGCUGCUGUGCUGCUUAACUGGCAAGAAUUUGAAAAGAGGAAGCAAUUCGCAAGUGUAGGUGUACUUUGGUAUUAGUUAAUAUUUAUUUGUUUGUGUUAUUCUGUAUUUAUUCCCUUAUUAGCAGACAGUCCUGCCUGGAGACUGAGCUUUCUACCAAUUUCUGAGGUUUGCUCUUCAGAAGUUCUAACACUGGAAGACAUUUUUCAACACGAGCCUGCAACUGAGGAGUGGAAAACAGGAAAAUAUGGAAUCAAAACCCUAUGGAAUUUUUUCCCUUAAGCUGAAUUCCUGUUCAGAAAGAAGUGGCAAAGAACAGCCGUUCUUCACCUGAAGGAAAACGACUUGUCUGGCAGAGGCAGAGCUCUUCAAAAGUUACCAGAGUGAAGGUUCCUGUUUACAACGGUGAAGAGUAACUCACGUAAAUUCCUAAAGGACCCAUGAGCAUUGGCUGACUAACUAUUUAGCAGAAUGAGAAGAAUGAGCAUCAGGUAAUGGGAUACAAGUGGAAAACUCUCUGUGAUGCCCAUGGAUAUCAGUACAAACCCCCUUUUUCAAUGCCAAGGUUAUGGGACUGACUGCAGGACUCAUUUUUGCUCAGUGUUGGGUCACCGCAUACGACAACAACAGUUAAGAAGAAAUUUGGUUGAUGUCUCAUUUCGAGGGGCUCUAGUACUGCCAGCCUCCUGACUCCAGACUUGCAGAAAGCAGUAGAUUGAAAGGCGGCUUCUGAAAGAGGGGCAUCUCUGCCUAAAAUCAAUUGUAACUAAAAACCUGAAAAUUGAUGGAUUUACACCAAGGCUGAAAGCAGUUUAUGGCUGGAGACCUCAGAAAUCUCCAGUAUGGAUUACUGCUUUUAUAGGUCUGUUCUGGUCUUCUCCUUUUCCUUCACCUCCUCCUUCUCCUCGCUUUUAAACUUGAGAGCUCAAAACAAUCUCUAGCAAUUUUCAGUCAGGAUCAGGCUGACUGGGAAGCAGGAGGUUUUUGCAACUGGACUUCAACAUGUUGGAGAAAUAACUGAGGAAAAGUUUUCCUGCUACCGCUCACCAAAGAAAUGUAAAGGGAGCAGUGGUCACCUUCCUCUUCCAGAGUUAGCGAUACCUUGGGAAGACUCUGGCAGUCGUUGCUGUCAGAGCAGGGGCUUUAGGACAGGCUUUAGGAAGAGAGCACUGAGGCUUCACAGGUCGUGGUUUGCAGUUCAGCAUCACACUUUCCACUCACUGUAUCAAUUCUGAAGUUCAUCUCCCACUGAAAGUGUUCCUUGGUGCCUCAUUCCUUGCACACUGACCUCCCCAGGCCGUGCAGCCUGCAUGGAUUUAAUGCCUGCUCUAUGAUCCAGCUCCAUGGACAAAUGCAAACAUAUGUGGCAAAUGCUGACAGUUUUCUCCAACAUAAGAAGUCAAGAAAUAAGGAAUUACUGUUAUCUCCAUUUCCUAAAUGGGGACUGGAAGCCACAGCUCAGCCAACACUUCUGGCUGUCAAUGACAGAAGCAGCCCAGUCCCUUCGGUCCCUGUGGGGUCCCUUUUCUCACGCUGGGAUAAGCAUUUGUGCAUCUGUAUUUUGGAACUGAUUGAGGAACUUAUCCAUCUGAAAACUAAUCCAGGGAGGGGAAAAAAAAAAAAAAAAAGAGUUUUUAUUUCAGCCACAUCAACUUCCUGAUUUUGGUUUGAAUGCAGCCCAGCAGGACGGGACUGAGCAGCUACGACGGUGGGAGUGGAAUGCAAGGAUUUUGGAUGGAAUUACAUGAAAUCACAGAAGAAAUAUGACAUCAAGAAGACAAUGUAGGUCUCCAGAAUGCACAGAUGCCUUUCUCUGUUGUAAAUGCCAUCCCCUCACAAUCUAGCAGAGGUUUGCUGGCUGUCUACCACUGCUCUGAGCCACCCAAGGUUUAUCCUGUGUAGACAACAUAUCUCAGGAGUGUUGUGUUUGGUGGAAUUAAAUGACCCUCUGCCCAGUCAAAAGUUAAUUAUUUGGGGGUGGAGGUUGCAGGGGGAUUAUUUCAGCAGCCACACUAAUGAAGGUGGGAUCAGACAGGUUAAAAAUAAGUGUAGACACAAGGAAGACAUGGGAAGGGAAAAAAACAGCUUAACCUAUGCAGUGGGACGAUGGCCUGCAUCACUAUUAUGGCAAGAGUUUUGUUCAGGAGGAGAGACAGAACUACAGAGAUAUUUUGCAGGGUUAGCACGUCUUCCUCUGUCUGAUACACUCCCUGUUUCCCACUUUUCCCUCGAUGGCAGGUAAUAAAAUGCCUGCUGGUACCCCCCAUGACUAGAGGUACCCGGAGUGGUUCAGCCCAUCGUGAGUGCUGUGCCAAUCAUUUAACAAUUCCCACAGCUGCCUUUGUGAGAAGCCUCUCUCUUAAGCCUCUGGUUUAAGAAUUUAGAGUAAUCAUGUAAAAAUGAUACCCCUGUGCUCUAUGAUCCGCUGAAUCUCACUAAUGCCGGAUCCCAGAAGAGGGCUUAUUAAUGAAAAGAUGCAAUGCCUCUCUCUCUGCUCGUGUUUCACAUGAAUAUCUCUCAUGGAUUCGGCAGUAAACCGUACUGCUGAUAAAGUGGGUAUAAUGAACCUCCGUGCUCCACGAGAAGGAAAUCUCGGACUGAUGGAAUAGUUACCUGCUCCACUUCCCAGCACAAUGGCAGGCUCGGCAGGGACAAGGAGAAGCACUCGGCUGCCACGGGAAUAGCGGUGCAGGCUCCCAAAUCCUGGGCCUGCUUUGCAAGCGAUGCCUUCGGCUGUGUGAAAAGAUCAAGAGUUUGGAAGGGAGCGGUUCGUAAUUAGCUGAGAGAAAUGAAAUUAUGCUUUGCUGUAAAUCACCGAGUCAACAGACGGAAGGAGGUUUUUAAAGGGACAGCAGCACCUUGAGGCUACUCUGUGUCCUUUCAACAUCACACAGUAGUCAAAAACCCAGCUGGCUCUCGCCAGUUGGCCAGAUUUUCAGCAAGGACGAGCACCAAGUGUUCUGCAAACAGCAGGAUCCCGCCACUUCCAGCCCCUGACAUCUAAUUUUCAAAUACUUUCAAGUACUGCCUCUGUCCUCAAGCUCCCCUGUUAACGGCAGCAGGUUUUGUCAUCAAGAAUUUCAGAUUGUUAUAAAUCCUUCUGCUGUAGCAAAAACAAGCAAAUGAUGGAAAAUCUCCACACUAACAAAAAGAGAGGCAGCUUCCAUGUCUAUCCAUGGGAAGAGAAAGCAAGUGACUACCCAGAAAGCAGUGUGAGGCAAAGAAAAGGAACAGGUAAAAUACUGUAGGCAGCAGUGCAGUCAGGUUCUAUAUUUCUCUGAGGCCCUCUGUGAUUUAUGAUUUCCAUUAAAAGAAACACAUGCCUUACAAAUUACCCCUAAUCUCAGCAUCAGUAGGAUAGCACAGGGCAAGCAACAAGAGCCUGGAAGGUGUCACUCAGGAGUAUCCCAAAACGACAACAGAGACCAAUUUUGAGUCCAACAACCAGACUGUAUCUGCUCGGUGUAUCUCUGAUACCUGGAUCACCUUUACAGAGCCAGCCCCACGUAGCCAAGUCCAAACCUCUGUGAGGCUCCAAUCUGAAUACAGAAAAUUAUCACAGAGAUGACAGCACUGCAGGGUGACUAUAAUCCCAUCUCAAACACUGGUUGUUAUCCUCUGCAUGUCUGUUCACUGAUUUACCAAUCUGUGGAAAAGUUAGCACAGUCCCUCACUUCCAGGGGAUUCUCUGGUUAGAGGGAAUUCAAACACCCUGAAACUCUGUGAAACCUUAAACCUUCGUGUGAGCAGCUUGGGUAUAACUCCCCAUGUUAUUAAUACCUAAAUGCCCCAUAUGUUGUCUUUAGAGAGGAAGGCAGUCCCAUCACCUUUAUGUGUGUGCUUUCUUCCCUUGGCUUUUACAUUUCUUCCACACGCAGAAUGUACUUAACUCGCUGCUUAUUGAAUGAAGGAUUAGUAUUAUUUUCCUUCCUCCGGUGAACUUUGUUUCACUUCAUCCUGCAUAUAUUUUGCUAGGCUGUGUUUUCCUGCCAGCACACCACUGUUCAGCAAACCACCGUACUUAAGGCCAGCCAGCUAACACAGUGAUCCCUUUUUACUCACGAGGAGUGUUUCCAUAAUCAUGGCUGUGCUCGUGGGAUGAAUGACAGCUUACACCAAGGAGCACGGAACGCACUUCCAGAAGCUCUGCCGAGCUGGGACGCAACUAAAGCAGCUUCAAACUGCCAAGACACUUGAAACAUCCAGGGGAAGACACGGUUUGAAAUGGAGCCUGCUACUUAGCUCCUCUGCUGGCAUGAAUGUUGACCAGGGACUUCUCCAUCCUCCCUUUUCUGUGCUGCUCUAUCUCAUGUUGAGCUGGACUGGGAGCGCUUGGAAAAAUGCCCAGCUUUGGGCCCCGUAAAAAUUAGUAUAAAACAAACAGGUAACAAAUUUGCAGUGGCUCUGUAGGAGGUUUACAGUCUCUUUUCUUUUGUUGGGAAGAUUGGUUAUGUUGCCCAGUAGGAAAGCAAGUGGAAAAGAAGGGUUUCUUUACAACUCACUGUGCUCUUGGAAAAAUGGAUUGGGAGUUCCUGUUCGCAUCAGUGCAGCAAUGCAGACCUCUCUGGUGGAAGUAUUUUCUUUUUUUGGUGGAAUUAUACCUCAAGUCCUGCUAGGUAGUUACUCUCUUUGUUCCUGUGAGCCAAGCUAGUUGCAAGAUCAUGCUAUGCCAUGCUUAUAACCUCGCACUAAAGAGAUUACAAAGGGGGCAAAAUACCCUAGAGGGUUCCCCUUUAUCAGAACCUUCCCUGUCAGUUUGCCUUCUCAUUUCCUGAGCUCUUGUCUGAUUAUUAGUGUACUGACAGAAUAAAAAUAACCUCAUAUUCCUACAUGAAUCAUAAAUAAAACCCUUUUAUUUCAUCAAAGAGGUUGGCAGGUUUAUAGUCCUUUGCAAUGCAUGCACAAUGUGAAUGACAUACCUUUAAUUUUGCUGACAAGCUUGUCGGGGUCCUAAUGAAAAAGAGUGAAAAGUGGGUGACUUCUCUAAAGGUUUAGCAGUUGCUUUUUG
This is a long non-coding RNA of Corapipo altera (White-ruffed manakin), 6097 nucleotides long. RefSeq lists it as uncharacterized. The transcript is spliced from 15 exons. Lineage: Eukaryota; Metazoa; Chordata; Aves; Passeriformes; Pipridae. The record is from RefSeq and is a predicted model, not a curated record.